GUGGUGGCUCAGUGGUAGAAUGCGUGCCUAGCACGUGCGAGGCCCUAGGUUCAAUCCUCAACACCACA
Molecule: transfer RNA, 68 nt
Filed under: Marmota monax (woodchuck)
Lineage: Eukaryota; Metazoa; Chordata; Mammalia; Rodentia; Sciuridae
Description: tRNA.Ala
Source: RNAcentral